Molecule: ribosomal RNA, 372 nt
Filed under: uncultured bacterium
Lineage: Bacteria
Description: partial 16S ribosomal RNA
Rfam family: Bacterial small subunit ribosomal RNA
Source: RNAcentral
CCUACGGGGGGCAGCAGUGAGGAAUAUUGGUCAAUGGGCGCGAGCCUGAACCAGCCAAGUAGCGUGAAGGAUGACUGCCCUACGGGUUGUAAACUUCUUUUAUAAAGGAAUAAAGUGAGGCACGUGUGCCUUUUUGUAUGUACUUUAUGAAUAAGGAUCGGCUAACUCCGUGCCAGCAGCCGCGGUAAUACGGAGGAUCCGAGCGUUAUCCGGAUUUAUUGGGUUUAAAGGGAGCGUAGAUGGGUUGUUAAGUCAGUUGUGAAAGUUUGCGGCUCAACCGUAAAAUUGCAAUUGAUACUGGCAUUCUUGAGUACAGUAGAGGAAGGCGGAAUUCGUGGUGGAGCGGGGAAAGGCUGAGAUAUCAGGAGGAAC